Molecule: long non-coding RNA, 235 nt
Filed under: Elaeis guineensis (African oil palm)
Lineage: Eukaryota; Viridiplantae; Streptophyta; Magnoliopsida; Arecales; Arecaceae
Description: long non-coding RNA (EGUI_LNC014128)
Source: RNAcentral
GGUAUCCGACUUGAUUGAAAUCCAGGAUAGGUAUGGGUUGUAGAAAAAAUAUCUAAAGUGAAUUUGGAUCAGAUACGGAUAAUGAAAUAUCUUGUCCCAAAUCAACCCAAUGUAUAUAUUUUAUUUAGUUAUUUAUUUAUACCAUUUAAACUCUUACAGAUAAACACCCAACACAAAACCUUAGCCAUCGUCUAAGCCUCCCUAUUCGGCUGCUCCAAGCCUCCCACCCGAUUGA